This 1219-nucleotide ribosomal RNA is filed under the name Achromobacter sp. Its description in RNAcentral is "bacterial SSU rRNA". It matches the Rfam family "Bacterial small subunit ribosomal RNA", at positions 236 to 1508 of the family's 1533-position model. Lineage: Bacteria; Pseudomonadati; Pseudomonadota; Betaproteobacteria; Burkholderiales; Alcaligenaceae. The record is from RNAcentral.
UCGAAUUUAAGCUAGGUUGAGUUAGCUACGAUUCACCCAGGCACGAUCCGUAGCUAUUGAGAGGAACGACAGGCACAUUGGAACUGAGAACACACCAGACUCUACGGAGCAGCAGUGGGGGAUUUUGACAUGGGGAACCCUGAUCCAGCAUCCCGCGUGUGCGAUGAAGGCCUUCGGGUUGUAAAGCACUUUGGCAGGAAAGAAACGUCGCGGGUUAAUACCUCGCGAAACUGACGGUACCUGCAGAAUAAGCACCGGCUAACUACGUGCCAGCAGCCGCGGUAAUACGUAGGGUGCAAGCGUUAAUCGGAAUUACUGGGCGUAAAGCGUGCGCAGGCGGUUCGGAAAGAAAGAUGUGAAAUCCCAGAGCUUAACUUUGGAACUGCAUUUUUAACUACCGGGCUAGAGUGUGUCAGAGGGAGGUGGAAUUCCGCGUGUAGCAGUGAAAUGCGUAGAUAUGCGGAGGAACACCGAUGGCGAAGGCAGCCUCCUGGGAUAACACUGACGCUCAUGCACGAAAGCGUGGGGAGCAAACAGGAUUAGAUACCCUGGUAGUCCACGCCCUAAACGAUGUCAACUAGCUGUUGGGGCCUUCGGGCCUUGGUAGCGCAGCUAACGCGUGAAGUUGACCGCCUGGGGAGUACGGUCGCAAGAUUAAAACUCAAAGGAAUUGACGGGGACCCGCACAAGCGGUGGAUGAUGUGGAUUAAUUCGAUGCAACGCGAAAAACCUUACCUACCCUUGACAUGUCUGGAAUGCCGAAGAGAUUUGGCAGUGCUCGCAAGAGAACCGGAACACAGGUGCUGCAUGGCUGUCGUCAGCUCGUGUCGUGAGAUGUUGGGUUAAGUCCCGCAACGAGCGCAACCCUUGUCAUUAGUUGCUACGAAAGGGCACUCUAAUGAGACUGCCGGUGACAAACCGGAGGAAGGUGGGGAUGACGUCAAGUCCUCAUGGCCCUUAUGGGUAGGGCUUCACACGUCAUACAAUGGUCGGGACAGAGGGUCGCCAACCCGCGAGGGGGAGCCAAUCCCAGAAACCCGAUCGUAGUCCGGAUCGCAGUCUGCAACUCGACUGCGUGAAGUCGGAAUCGCUAGUAAUCGCGGAUCAGCAUGUCGCGGUGAAUACGUUCCCGGGUCUUGUACACCCCGCCCGUCACCACUGGGCGGUAUUGUUAGAGAAGUACCAGCCUCACCAAGUAGUAACACCGUAACCGUAGACU